Molecule: non-coding RNA, 47 nt
Organism: Picea glauca (white spruce)
Lineage: Eukaryota; Viridiplantae; Streptophyta; Pinopsida; Pinales; Pinaceae
Source: Rfam
CCAAAGGAUUUAAUCAAAUCCACAUGAUAGACUACGAUGAGACUUUU